Trichonephila clavipes is the source of this 68-nucleotide non-coding RNA. The record is from the annotation of a GenBank genome assembly. NCBI's taxonomy places the organism in Eukaryota, Metazoa, Arthropoda, Arachnida, Araneae, Nephilidae.
GCCAGUAUGGUGGAAAUGACCCUCGGCUUGUAACCGAGAGGGCUCGGGUUUGAAACCCGAAUAAGACA